UACGUAGGUGGCAAGCGUUUGUCCGGAUUUAUUGGGUUUAAAGGGUGCGUAGGCGGCUUGAUAAGUCAGUGGUGAAAGCCGAUCGCUUAACGAUCGAACUGCCAUUGAUACUGUCGGGCUUGAGUAUAGAUGAGGUAGGCGGAAUUGACAGUGUAGCGGUGAAAUGCAUAGAUAUUGUCAAGAACACCAAUUGCGAAGGCAGCUUACUAAGUUAUAACUGACGCUGAGGCACGAAAGUGCGGGGAUCAAACAGG
Molecule: ribosomal RNA, 254 nt
Filed under: uncultured bacterium
Lineage: Bacteria
Description: partial 16S ribosomal RNA
Rfam family: Bacterial small subunit ribosomal RNA
Source: RNAcentral